This 1281-nucleotide ribosomal RNA is filed under the name Triticum aestivum (bread wheat). Its description in RNAcentral is "partial small subunit ribosomal RNA". Lineage: Eukaryota; Viridiplantae; Streptophyta; Magnoliopsida; Poales; Poaceae. The record is from RNAcentral.
AUGCUGCCGCAGCAGAGCCAGGCCGCGGCGAUGAUGCAGCAGGCGGCCGCGAUGCAGUCCAUGUACGCGAUGCCGCCGCCGCCGCACCACCACCACCUCCUCGGCGCCGCGCCGCCGCAGCAGAUAGAGCCAAUUCUUACUGGAAAUCUGCCACCUGGUUUUGAUACAAGUACAUGCCGCAGUGUAUAUGUCGGCAAUAUUCAUGUUCAAGUGACCGAGGCACUUCUCCGGGAGGUUUUCCAGAGUGCUGGUUCAGUUGACGGAUGCAAGCUUAUAAGAAAAGAGAAGUCCUCGUAUGGUUUUGUUGACUACUACGAACGCGGAUCAGCUGCCCUAGCAAUUUUGACACUUAACAGGAAGCAAAUUUUUGGGCAGCCUAUCAGAGUUAAUUGGGCAUAUGCUAGUGGUCAGAGGGAGGAUACAACAGACCAUUUCCAUAUAUUUGUUGGUGAUCUUAGCCCUGAGGUCACGGAUUCUGCAUUAUUUGCAUUCUUCUCAGCAUAUUCUCCCAACUGCUCUGAUGCUCGAGUAAUGUGGGACCAAAAGACGGGAAGAUCAAGAGGUUAUGGCUUUGUUUCCUUCAGGAAUCAACAGGAUGCACAGAGUGCCAUAAAUGACUUAAAUGGUCAAUGGCUUGGGAAUCGGCAGAUUCGUUGCAACUGGGCAACAAAAGGUGCCAACAGUGGCGAGGACCAGCUAACAUCUGAUUCGAAAAGUAUAGCUGAUGUAAAUAACAAUUUCACAGAAAAUGCAAAGCAGAAAUCAAAUGAAGAUGCUCCUGAAAAUAAUCCACUGUACAGAACUGUUUAUGUUGGGAACCUUGCUCACGAGGUUACUCAAGACGUGCUUCAUCGUUUCUUCCAUGCACUUGGUGCUGGAGCCAUCGAGGAGGUCCGUGUCCAGCACGGCAAAGGCUUUGGUUUUGUCAAGUACAGCAACCAUGCCGAAACUGCCCUUGCAAUUCAGACGGGUAAUGGUCGUAUUUUGGGUGGUAAACCAGUCAAGUGUUCCUGGGGCAACAAACCUACACCCCCUGGUACCACCUCUGCGCCUCUGCCCCCUCCUGCUGCUCCUGGCCACCCUGCUGCCGCCGACCUCAUGGCGUAUCAACGUGCUAUUGCGAUGAGCAAGAUGGCUUCGACCCAGGCAUUGAUGCAGGCUCAGCAUCUCAGGCAAGCAGCCAUGGGGAUGGGUGUAGGUGCGAGUCAGGCAAUGUACGAUGGUACUUUCCAGAACGUCGGUGCCUCACAGCAGCAGCAGCAGCAGCUCAUGUACUAUUAA